RNAcentral lists this transfer RNA (75 nucleotides) under Ictidomys tridecemlineatus (thirteen-lined ground squirrel). RNAcentral's name for it is "Spermophilus tridecemlineatus (thirteen-lined ground squirrel) tRNA". Lineage: Eukaryota; Metazoa; Chordata; Mammalia; Rodentia; Sciuridae. The record is from Rfam by way of RNAcentral.
GGGGUUGUGGCUCAGUGGUAGAGCACUUGCCUAGCAUGUAUGAAGCACACACUGCACUACUGAGGUACACCCCCA